AGACCCGAAACCCGGUGAUCUAGCCAUGGGCAGGUUGAAGGUUGGGUAACACUAACUGGAGGACCGAACCGACUAAUGUUGAAAAAUUAGCGGAUGACCUGUGGCUGGGGGUGAAAGGCCAAUCAAACCGGGAGAUAGCUGGUUCUCCCCGAAAGCUAUUUAGGUAGCGCCUCGUGAAUUCAUCUCCGGGGGUAGAGCACUGUUUCGGCUAGGGGGCCAUCCCGGCUUACCAACCCGAUGCAAACUGCGAAUACCGGAGAAUGUUAUCACGGGAGACACACGGCGGGUGCUAACGUCCGUCGUGAAGAGGGAAACAACCCAGACCGCCAGCUAAGGUCCCAAAGUCAUGGUUAAGUGGGAAACGAUGUGGGAAGGCCCAGACAGCCAGGAUGUUGGCUUAGAAGCAGCCAUCAUUUAAAGAAAGCGUAAUAGCUCACUGGUCGAGUCGGCCUGCGCGGAAGAUGUAACGGGGCUAAACCAUGCACCGAAGCUGCGGCAGCGAACGUAUCACCCAAGACAACUUUACGGAGUUGACGAUUGACGGAGCGAAGCGACGUCAAAGCGUUCAUUAAAGUCGAGUUGGCUUAGGGAUACGUUCGUUGGGUAGGGGAGCGUUCUGUAAGCCUGUGAAGGUGUGUCGUGAGGCAUGCUGGAGGUAUCAGAAGUGCGAAUGCUGACAUAAGUAACGAUAAAGCGGGUGAAAAGCCCGCUCGCCGGAAGACCAAGGGUUCCUGUCCAACGUUAAUCGGGGCAGGGUGAGUCGACCCCUAAGGCGAGGCCGAAAGGCGUAGUCGAUGGGAAACGGGUUAAUAUUCCCGUACUUGGUGUUACUGCGAAGGGGGGACGGAGAAGGCUAUGUUGGCCGGGCGACGGUUGUCCCGGUUU
This 885-nucleotide ribosomal RNA is filed under the name Salmonella enterica. RNAcentral's name for it is "partial 23S ribosomal RNA". It matches the Rfam family "Bacterial large subunit ribosomal RNA", at positions 711 to 1513 of the family's 2925-position model. The record is from RNAcentral. RNAcentral also lists the same sequence under 3 other names. Lineage: Bacteria; Pseudomonadati; Pseudomonadota; Gammaproteobacteria; Enterobacterales; Enterobacteriaceae.